This 424-nucleotide ribosomal RNA is filed under the name uncultured bacterium. Its description in RNAcentral is "bacterial SSU rRNA". It matches the Rfam family "Bacterial small subunit ribosomal RNA", at positions 359 to 776 of the family's 1533-position model. The record is from RNAcentral.
GAAUUUUGCGCAAUGGGCGAAAGCCUGACGCAGCAACGCCGCGUGUGUGAUGAAGGUCUUCGGAUUGUAAAGCACUUUCGACCGGGACGAAAACCCUGAGGCUAACAUCCUCAGGCUUGACGGUACCGGGCGAAGCAGCACCGGCUAACUCUGUGCCAGCAGCCGCGGUAAUACAGAGGGUGCAAGCGUUGUUCGGAAUUAUUGGGCGUAAAGCGCGUGUAGGCGGCUUUGCAAGUCGGGUGUGAAAGCCCUCAGCUCAACUGAGGAAGUGCGCCCGAAACUGCAGAGCUUGAGUGCCGGAGAGGGUGGCGGAAUUCCCCAAGUAGAGGUGAAAUUCGUAGAUAUGGGGAGGAACACCGGUGGCGAAGGCGGCCACCUGGACGGUAACUGACGCUGAGACGCGAAAGCGUGGGGAGCAAACAGG